AUGGAGGUCCUCGAUCUACACAGUAACUCUCUAUCAGGUCGCAUACCAGGCGAUUGCUGUAAGCUCGAGAAUCUGUCCCUCCUUUUAUUAGACGGCAAUCAUCUCUACGGCCCAAUACCAGAAAACCUUGUACAGUUACAAUUUCCCUUCAUCUUCCUCAAUCUCUCUAGUAACCAACUCACAGGCAAGAUUCCAUCUCCUUUCGAGAUGGGAAGAUUUCAAUGGAGCUUUCUUUCCAAUCCCAGCUUAUGUUCCUCCAACCACUUUGGAAACCUUCCUCCAUGCACCAGAUUGCACUUGAAGAUGCUUGUAAUUAUUGUCCUCGUCUUUGGUUCAGCCAUUCUCAUAUGCACAGGGCUAAUUGGUUUAACUAAGAUCAAGGCAUUUUUCUCAAAGGAAAAGGACGACGCCCCAUCUCCACAGUGGAAACUGACGGCCUUCCAAGCUAUUGAUUAUGACAUUCAAGACAUCCUUUGCAACCUCAUUGAUACAAACCUUGUCGGCAGCGGUGGCUCAGGAAAGGUAUAUAAGAUCUGCCUUGGUAACAGAAACGGCGGGGUUAUAGCUAUCAAGCAAAUAUGGUCUAGUAGUGGUGAACUGGAACAUGAUGUGCUGGAAAAGCAGUUUCAAGCUGAGAUUGAGAUUCUUGGAUCCAUCCGACACGCCAAUAUCAUAAAGUUGCUUGGCUUCAUAUCAAGCUCUGAAUCGAAGCUCCUCAUAUACGAAUACAUGGAACAUGGUAGCCUGUAUGAAUGGCUGCAUCAGAAAGAUGACCCUACUAGUACAACUAGACGGUUGUUGAACUGGCCGAUAAGAAUGUCAAUAGCAAUCGAUGCAGCAAGAGGGCUGUGUUACAUGCACCACAGUUGCUCUCCUGCUAUAGCACACCGUGAUGUGAAGUCCAGCAACAUCCUACUGGGUCCUCAGUUCAAAGCAAAGAUUGCGGACUUUGGCCUAGCUCGCUCUCUACUUAAAGCUGGCGAGCCAGAGUCUGUCUCGGCUGUGGUUGGGUCCUUCGGAUACAUAGCUCCAGGUAACAACUUCAGUUAUUUUGAACUCUGUAUUAUAAGUUUAUAA
This 1077-nucleotide ribosomal RNA is filed under the name Triticum aestivum (bread wheat). Its description in RNAcentral is "partial small subunit ribosomal RNA". The record is from RNAcentral. Lineage: Eukaryota; Viridiplantae; Streptophyta; Magnoliopsida; Poales; Poaceae.